CCUACGGGGGGCAGCAGUGAGGAAUAUUGGUCAAUGGGCGCGAGCCUGAACCAGCCAAGUAGCGUGAAGGAUGACUGCCCUACGGGUGGUAAACUUCUUUUAUAAAGGAAUAAAGUGAGGCACGUGUGCCUUUUUGUAUGUACUUUAUGAAUAAGGAUAGGCUAACUCCGUGCCAGCAGACGAGGUAAUACGGAGGAUCCGAGCGUUAUCCGGAUUUAUUGGGGUUAAAGGGAGAGUAGAUGGGUUGUUAAGUCAGUUGUGAAAGUUUGCGGCUCAACCGUAAAAUUGCAAUUGAUACUGGCAGCAUGGAGUACAGUUGAGGUAGGCGGAAUUCGUGGUGUAGCGGUGAAAUGCUUAGAUAUCACGAAGAACUCCGAUUGCGAAGGCAGCCUACUAAACUGCAACUGACAUUGAUGCUCGAAAGUGUGGGUAUCAAACAGGAUUAGAUACCCUUGUAGUC
This 460-nucleotide ribosomal RNA is filed under the name uncultured bacterium. RNAcentral describes it as "partial 16S ribosomal RNA". It matches the Rfam family "Bacterial small subunit ribosomal RNA", at positions 338 to 795 of the family's 1533-position model. The record is from RNAcentral.